RNAcentral lists this ribosomal RNA (253 nucleotides) under uncultured bacterium. RNAcentral describes it as "partial 16S ribosomal RNA". It matches the Rfam family "Bacterial small subunit ribosomal RNA", at positions 524 to 776 of the family's 1533-position model. The record is from RNAcentral.
UACAGAGGGGGCAAGCGUUGUUCGGAAUUACUGGGCGUAAAGGGCGCGUAGGCGGCCCGCUAAGUCGAACGUGAAAUCCCCGAGCUCAACUCAGGAACUGCGUCCGAUACUGGCGGGCUUGAAUCCGGGAGAGGGAUGCGGAAUUCCAGGUGUAGCGGUGAAAUGCGUAGAUAUCUGGAGGAACACCGGUGGCGAAGGCGGCAUCCUGGACCGGCAUUGACGCUGAGGCGCGAAAGCUAGGGGAGCAAACGGG